Molecule: long non-coding RNA, 320 nt
Filed under: Bos indicus x Bos taurus (hybrid cattle)
Lineage: Eukaryota; Metazoa; Chordata; Mammalia; Artiodactyla; Bovidae
Description: lncRNA (ENSBIXG00005003346.1)
Source: RNAcentral
AUGGGGUCACAAAGAGUCAGACACAACUUAGCAACUGAACAACAACAAGCCAAGGCUGUGUUGGGUGUGCUUAUGGAGAGUCUUCUGGGAAUCGAGGCUUCUCUAGUUAGUCACCUGAAAACUUCAUCCUUCUCACAUUUUCUGACCUGCCCUGAAGACUGUGAAACCAUGAUCCUCCUUACACCUGCUAUAAUGAAGGCUGCUUCUUAGGAAAACUCAAACAGUCCCUUGAGGAAAAAAAUGAGAAAAACAAACAGAUCAUAAGGGCCUCCUAGGAAAAGGAGUACGUCAAGGCUGUAUAUUGUCACCCUGUUUAUUUA